CCCUUAGAUGUUCUGGGCUGCACGCGCGCUGCACUGAUGCAUCCAACAAGUUUUUUCCUUGUUCGAGAGGACUAGGUAAUCUUUUGAGAAUGCAUCGUGAUGGGGAUAGAUUAUUGCAAUUAUUAAUCUUCAACGAGGAAUUCCUAGUAAGCGCGAGUCAUCAGCUCGUGCUGAUUACGUCCCUGCCCUUUGUACACACCGCCCGUCGCUGCAACUGAUUGGGUGACCUGGUGAACAUCUUGGACCGGUCCACUCAAUUUCGAGAGGACUGGAAAAGGCCGUAAAUCAGGUACAUCUAGAAAUUGCAAAAGUCGUAACA
Molecule: ribosomal RNA, 319 nt
Filed under: uncultured eukaryote
Lineage: Eukaryota
Description: partial 18S ribosomal RNA
Rfam family: Eukaryotic small subunit ribosomal RNA
Source: RNAcentral